UACGAAGGGGGCUAGCGUUGUUCGGAAUUACUGGGCGUAAAGCGCACGUAGGCGGAUAUUUAAGUCAGGGGUGAAAUCCCAGAGCUCAACUCUGGAACUGCCUUUGAUACUGGGUAUCUUGAGUAUGGAAGAGGUAAGUGGAAUUCCGAGUGUAGAGGUGAAAUUCGUAGAUAUUCGGAGGAACACCAGUGGCGAAGGCGGCUUACUGGUCCAUUACUGGCGCUGAGGUGCGAAAGCGUGGGGAGCAAACAGG
This 253-nucleotide ribosomal RNA is filed under the name uncultured bacterium. RNAcentral describes it as "partial 16S ribosomal RNA". It matches the Rfam family "Bacterial small subunit ribosomal RNA", at positions 524 to 776 of the family's 1533-position model. The record is from RNAcentral.